GAUAAUCGCUAGCGGCAGGCUUAACACAUGCAAGUCGAGGGGCAGCAUAGAUUGUAGCAAUACAAUUGGUGGCGACCGGCGCACGGGUGCGUAACGCGUAUGCAACCUACCCGUCACAGGGGGAUAAUCCGGAGAAAUCUGGUCUAAUACCCCAUAACAUAUGGAUCGGCAUCGGUUCAUGUUGAAAUUUUCGGAGGUGACGGAUGGGCAUGCGUAGCAUUAGCUUGUUGGUGAGGUAACGGCUCACCAAGGCGACGAUGCUUAGGGGGACUGAGAGGUUUUCCCCCCACACUGGUACUGAGACACGGACCAGACUCCUACGGGAGGCAGCAGUGAGGAGUAUUGGUCAAUGGGCGCAAGCCUGAACCAGCCAUGCCGCGUGCAGGAUGACGGCUCUAUGAGUUGUAAACUGCUUUUGUACGAGGGUAAAGUGGGUUACGUGUAACCUUUUGAAAGUAUCGUACGAAUAAGGAUCGGCUAACUCCGUGCCAGCAGCCGCCGUAA
Molecule: ribosomal RNA, 504 nt
Filed under: uncultured bacterium
Lineage: Bacteria
Description: partial 16S ribosomal RNA
Rfam family: Bacterial small subunit ribosomal RNA
Source: RNAcentral